GACGAACGCUGGCGGCGUGCUUAACACAUGCAAGUCGAACGAUGAAGAAGAGAAACGCGAACUUCGGUUCAACUUUCACUUCGGAUUAGUGGCAGACGGGUGAGUAACGCGUGAGCAACCUACCUCUUACAAAGGGAUAGCCUCGGGAAACCGUGAUUAAUACCAUAUGACACAUUCAUAAGGCAUCUUAAGAAUGUUAAAGCUACGGCGGUAAGAGAUGGGCUCGCGUCCCAUUAGCUAGUUGGUGAGGUAACGGCCCACCAAGGCGACGAUGGGUAACCGGCCUGAGAGGGUGAACGGUCACAGUGGAACUGAGACACGGUCCAAACUCCUACGGGAGGCAGCAGUGGGGAAUAUUGCACAAUGGAGGGAACUCUGAUGCAGCGACGCCGCGUGAGCGAUGAAGGAAUUCGUUUCGUAAAGCUCUGUUCUAUGGGAAGAAAAGGACUGUACCAUAGGAGAAAGCCCCGGCUAAAUACGUG
This 482-nucleotide ribosomal RNA is filed under the name uncultured bacterium. Its description in RNAcentral is "partial 16S ribosomal RNA". It matches the Rfam family "Bacterial small subunit ribosomal RNA", at positions 28 to 507 of the family's 1533-position model. The record is from RNAcentral.